Molecule: ribosomal RNA, 609 nt
Filed under: uncultured bacterium
Lineage: Bacteria
Description: bacterial SSU rRNA
Rfam family: Bacterial small subunit ribosomal RNA
Source: RNAcentral
AAAAACUCCGGUGGUAUGAGAUGGGCCCGCGUCUGAUUAGCUAGUUGGCGGGGUAACGGCCCACCAAGGCGACGAUCAGUAGCCGACCUGAGAGGGUGACCGGCCACAUUGGGACUGAGACACGGCCCAAACUCCUACGGGAGGCAGCAGUGGGGAAUAUUGCACAAUGGGGGAAACCCUGAUGCAGCGACGCCGCGUGAGCGAUGAAGUAUUUCGGUAUGUAAAGCUCUAUCAGCAGGGAAGAAGAUGACGGUACCUGACUAAGAAGCCCCGGCUAACUACGUGCCAGCAGCCGCGGUAAUACGUAGGGGGCAAGCGUUAUCCGGAUUUACUGGGUGUAAAGGGAGCGUAGACGGCGGUGCAAGCCAGAUGUGAAAGCCCGGGGCUCAACCCCGGGACUGCAUUUGGAACUGUAUGGCUGGAGUGUCGGAGAGGCAGGCGGAAUUCCUAGUGUAGCGGUGAAAUGCGUAGAUAUUAGGAGGAACACCAGUGGCGAAGGCGGCCUGCUGGACGAUGACUGACGUUGAGGCUCGAAAGCGUGGGGAGCAAACAGGAUUAGAUACCCUGGUAGUCCACGCCGUAAACGAUGACUACUAGGUGUCGGGCAGC